This is a non-coding RNA of Pelobates cultripes (western spadefoot toad), 351 nucleotides long. The record is from the annotation of a GenBank genome assembly. NCBI's taxonomy places the organism in Eukaryota, Metazoa, Chordata, Amphibia, Anura, Pelobatidae.
GUUCCCGGAGGAGAUCAGCUCGUCAUGCUAGAGCACUUUUUCAAUGGGCUCCCCAACGACAAGGCAACGACUCAUUUGUAUGUCAUCCAUAUCAACUUUCGAUGCCACUUUCUGCGCCUACCAUGGUGACCACGGGUAACGGGGAAUCAGGGUUUGAUACUGGAGAGAGAGCCUGAGAAAUGGCUACCACAUGCAAGGAAGGCAGCAGGCAGGUAAAUGACCCACUCCUGACGCAGGAAGGUAGUGAUGACAAAUAACAAUACAGGACUCUUUAGAGGCCCUGUAAUUGUAAUGAGUCCAUUUGAAAUCCUUUAACCACACUAUUUGACGCUUCUAUUUGGUUCUAUAAAC